This 420-nucleotide ribosomal RNA is filed under the name uncultured bacterium. RNAcentral's name for it is "bacterial SSU rRNA". It matches the Rfam family "Bacterial small subunit ribosomal RNA", at positions 356 to 774 of the family's 1533-position model. The record is from RNAcentral.
AAGGAAUAUUGGUCAAUGGACGCAAGUCUGAACCAGCCAAGCCGCGUGAAGGAUGAAGGUCCUCUGGAUUGUAAACUUCUUUUAUCUGGGACGAAAACGGGAUUUUUAUCUCAAUUGACGGUACCAGAGGAAUAAGCACCGGCUAACUCCGUGCCAGCAGCCGCGGUAAUACGGAGGGUGCGAGCGUUAUCCGGAUUUACUGGGUCUAAAGGGUGCGUAGGUGGGCUUAUAAGUCAGUGGUGAAAUCUCCGAGCUUAACUUGGAAACUGCCGUUGAUACUAUAGGUCUUGAAUUAUCUGGAGGUAAGCGGAAUAUGUCAUGUAGCGGUGAAAUGCUUAGAUAUGACAUAGAACACCAAUUGCGAAGGCAGCUUACUACAUAUAAAUUGACGCUGAGGCACGAAAGCGUGGGGAUCAAACA